ACUAUCAUAACUCCAGAAGGCUA
Molecule: non-coding RNA, 23 nt
Filed under: Cricetulus griseus (Chinese hamster)
Lineage: Eukaryota; Metazoa; Chordata; Mammalia; Rodentia; Cricetidae
Source: RNAcentral